RNAcentral lists this long non-coding RNA (1314 nucleotides) under Ricinus communis (castor bean). RNAcentral's name for it is "long non-coding RNA (RCOM_LNC000778)". Lineage: Eukaryota; Viridiplantae; Streptophyta; Magnoliopsida; Malpighiales; Euphorbiaceae. The record is from RNAcentral.
GAAGAUCAUCACUAUAGUAACAGUACAGUAUUGUUCUAUGUUUCAUGACAUAUGUUCUACAUCUUUGACCAGAAACGGCUCAAAGUUGCUUCUAUUGAUCCAUGUGGCUCAUCUGUUGGUAAAUAUACAUCAUCAUUGAACUGCAAAAUCCAUCACAGUGAUCAUCAAUAGUUAGUUUAAUUUCAGGUUGUAAAUUUAUAUCUAAAUUCACAAUAACAUGCACAUAGAAAAAUUCCAAAGAAACUUAUUUUAGCCCAUGGAAAUUUCAGUUAAGACAUCAGAUCUUUGUGUUUCAUCUUCUUCCCAUUUUAAUUUUUAUCAGUUGAUCACUUCUGACUUUCAAAACCAUAUAUUUUUAGCCAUAAGCACCGUUAUUUUCCAAACAAGUCGAUCACCAAUAGCCUCAUCAUUUUUCAGUUCAAUCGACUACUAGCUCCGCUCCCCUUAUGAAACUUUUGUCAUUCAAGUAAAUGUUAUUGGAUGCACAAAAUUUAUCUUUUCUUAUAAGUGUUAACAUGUCAAUAAUGAAUAAGUGGUUAUUAAUUUGAAAGAUGAAAAGGAAACACACAUGUAUUUUGAAGAAGUUACAUGCGUGCUGUCCUUCAAACCAACUUCCAAUUUCUUGAAAAAAGAAAUUAUUUACGUUAUUUUACAGGUAUGUGAUAGGAAGCACAAUUCUCAAUUUAGAGCCAUAUCAAUAUCUGCAAGAGCUAAACCAUUGUAGUCGAGCUUUCUUAAUUUUGAUGUGUUUAUUUAAAAAGAUCCUUAUAAGUCAUUAUGUGAAUAUGCAACUUAGAAAGUAGAUAAUUGGGGUAAAUAUUAGGUGGCUUCGCAAGGACAUGCAGACAGACUAAAAAAAUUACAUCUGGAACAAUACCACUAAAUCCAUUCCCUCACCUCUCACCCUUCAAGGAAUUCAAAUUAGAGCCAACUGAAUGGUAAGUCAUUAUAUGUGAUUCAUUUCAAUAAAAUCAAGAAAGGAAUGAUUCUUGGAUAUUUUACAUGAAAAUCCUAACCCCAUUCAGAAAGAAGAAACUCCAAGUGCACAGACUAAAGAGAAACUAAUUGUGAGAAAAAGACAAUUUAAAAAAAAUAUUAAUCCACUUGUCCAUACGCAACAUACUUUCUCAGACACGAUUCCGAUACUUUAGUUCUAUAUCUAGCAUUUAGAUGAGGAUAGGUAGUCAUACCUUUACAAUAUUGUGAUCCUUGCUUGAUAUGUUAACAGGUAAAAAGUGGAGAUUUGGCAUUUUCAAUUGGACUGAAGAUAUGUCAGGAAACCUACCAAAUUUUAAGAGGAUAACAAUAUCAGAA